UUUUAGUUAUCUUCAUCCUUGUAUGUGAGAGAAAGAUGAAACAGAAGGAAACUCUUGCUGAAGGAGAAAAAAUUCCAGAGAAACUGACCAUAGACGAGUUGCCCGAUGUCACUGAAAAUGGAGCUCGGCUCAGAAAGGUUGAAUCUACUUCAGUGCAAG
Molecule: long non-coding RNA, 159 nt
Organism: Hemiscyllium ocellatum (epaulette shark)
Lineage: Eukaryota; Metazoa; Chordata; Chondrichthyes; Orectolobiformes; Hemiscylliidae
Exons: 3
Source: RefSeq, a predicted model, not a curated record